UACGUAGGCAGCAAGCGUUGUUCGGAGUUACUGGGCGUAAAGGGUGUGUAGGCGGUCCCUUAAGUUUGCUGUGAAAUCUCCCGGCUUAACCGGGAGGGUGCGGUGAAUACUGAGGGACUAGAGUACGGGAGAGGAAAGUGGAAUUCCUGGUGUAGCGGUGAAAUGCGUAGAUAUCAGGAGGAACACCGGUGGUGUAGACGGCUUUCUGGACCGUAACUGACGCUGAGACACGAAAGCGUGGGUAGCAAACAGG
RNAcentral lists this ribosomal RNA (253 nucleotides) under uncultured bacterium. RNAcentral describes it as "partial 16S ribosomal RNA". It matches the Rfam family "Bacterial small subunit ribosomal RNA", at positions 524 to 776 of the family's 1533-position model. The record is from RNAcentral.